AGGAACUUAAGAUGAUCGGUGCUUUCGAAGGUGCCCCCCAUAGUGCUUCUGCUUAAUCUUUACUAUAAUCUGCUUUCUAAUCCAGUUUACAGGAAAGAAAUGUGCUGUGUCCCAAUGUGACUACUUAUACUACACCCUUAAAUUCUGAUGGACUCUAUGCACGCGUGGUCUGAGAUCACAUGUCGAUGUUUACACAAAGGCGGGGGUUAAAUAGAGGACGAGGCUAGUGACCAUGGAUGAAGAGAGUAUUGGCUGCUAAGGCGGUUGGAAACAACUGGACUUGGGAUGGACAGGAGUAUGCAGAGGGAAGUGACAAAAAUACAGUUGACAAAAAUGCUAAAUAAGGAAAUUGGUGAAAUAAAGAGUGCUAAAAUUCUUAGAAAUGGAUCAUUGUUGAUUAUUUGCAAGGAUGCAAAACAUCAAGGGAAAGUAAUGAGAAUGAACAAGAUCAAUGGAAAGAGAGUGGAAUGUUCUACGGCUUAUGGCAAGAAAUUCAUAAAAGGGGUUUUCACAGGAAUCCCAGA
Carassius gibelio (silver crucian carp) is the source of this 524-nucleotide long non-coding RNA. RefSeq lists it as uncharacterized. NCBI's taxonomy places the organism in Eukaryota, Metazoa, Chordata, Actinopteri, Cypriniformes, Cyprinidae. The transcript is spliced from 3 exons. The record is from RefSeq and is a predicted model, not a curated record.